This 301-nucleotide ribosomal RNA is filed under the name uncultured bacterium. RNAcentral's name for it is "partial 16S ribosomal RNA". It matches the Rfam family "Bacterial small subunit ribosomal RNA", at positions 509 to 807 of the family's 1533-position model. The record is from RNAcentral.
CAGCAGCCGCGGUAAUACAGAGGGUGCAAGCGUUAAUCGGAAUUACUGGGCGUAAAGCGCACGCAGGCGGUCUGUCAAGUCAGAUGUGAAAUCCCCGGGCUUAACCUGGGAACUGCAUUUGAAACUGGCAGGCUAGAGUCUUGUAGAGGGGGGUAGAAUUCCAGGUGUAGCGGUGAAAUGCGUAGAGAUCUGGAGGAAUACCGGUGGCGAAGGCGGCCCCCUGGACAAAGACUGACGCUCAGGUGCGAAAGCGUGGGGAGCAAACAGGAUUAGAGACCCCGGUAGUCCCUGUCUCUUAUAC